Molecule: microRNA precursor, 84 nt
Filed under: Bombyx mori (domestic silkworm)
Lineage: Eukaryota; Metazoa; Arthropoda; Insecta; Lepidoptera; Bombycidae
Description: mir-2807 microRNA precursor family
Rfam family: mir-2807 microRNA precursor family
Source: Rfam by way of RNAcentral
UUAACUCAAAUUUUUAUGGAGUUGGAACGUUUGUCUAUGUUUGCCGCUAGGGGCGCUGUUCAAAUUCCAUACAAAUUUGAGAUA